This 468-nucleotide ribosomal RNA is filed under the name uncultured bacterium. RNAcentral's name for it is "partial 16S ribosomal RNA". It matches the Rfam family "Bacterial small subunit ribosomal RNA", at positions 28 to 507 of the family's 1533-position model. The record is from RNAcentral.
GACGAACGCUGGCGGCGUGCUUAACACAUGCAAGUCGAACGGAAAGGCCCUGCUUUUGUGGGGUGCUCGAGUGGCGAACGGGUGAGUAACACGUGAGUAACCUGCCCUUGACUUUGGGAUAACUUCAGGAAACUGGGGCUAAUACCGGAUAGGAGCUCCUGCUGCAUGGUGGGGGUUGGAAAGUUUCGGCGGUUGGGGAUGGACUCGCGGCUUAUCAGCUUGUUGGUGGGGUAGUGGCUUACCAAGGCUUUGACGGGUAGCCGGCCUGAGAGGGUUACCGGCCACAUUGGGACUGAGAUACGGACCAGACGCCUACGGGAGGCAGCAGUGGGGAGUAUUACACAAUGGGCGGAAGCCUGAUGCAGCAACGCCGCGUGCGGGAUGACGGCCUUCGGGGUGUAAACCGCUUUCGCCUGUGACGAAGCGUGAGUGACGGUAAUGGGUAAAGAAGCACCGGCUAACUACGUG